This 301-nucleotide ribosomal RNA is filed under the name uncultured bacterium. RNAcentral's name for it is "partial 16S ribosomal RNA". It matches the Rfam family "Bacterial small subunit ribosomal RNA", at positions 509 to 809 of the family's 1533-position model. The record is from RNAcentral.
CAGUAGCCGCGGUAAUACGAAGGGUGCAAGCGUUAAUCGGAAUUACUGGGCGUAAAGCGUGCGUAGGCGGUUAGUUAAGUCUGCUGUGAAAUCCCCGGGCUCAACCUGGGAAUGGCAGUGGAUACUGGCAAGCUAGAGUGUGUCAGAGGAUGGUGGAAUUCCCGGUGUAGCGGUGAAAUGCGUAGAGAUCGGGAGGAACAUCAGUGGCGAAGGCGGCCAUCUGGGACAACACUGACGCUGAGGCACGAAAGCGUGGGGAGCAAACAGGAUUAGAUACCCGCGUAGUCCCUGUCUCUUAUAA